This 478-nucleotide ribosomal RNA is filed under the name uncultured bacterium. Its description in RNAcentral is "SSU rRNA". It matches the Rfam family "Bacterial small subunit ribosomal RNA", at positions 27 to 518 of the family's 1533-position model. The record is from RNAcentral.
GGGACGAACGCUGGCGGCGUGCUUAACACAUGCAAGUCGAGCGGUAAGGCUCCUUCGGGAGUACACGAGCGGCGAACGGGUGAGUAACACGUGAGCAAUCUGCCCUUCACAUCGGGAUAACCUCCGGAAACGGAGGCUAAUACCGGAUACGACCACCGAUGGCAUCAUCUGGUGGUGGAAAGUUCCGGCGGUGAAGGAUGAGCUCGCGGCCUAUCAGCUUGUUGGUGGGGUAACGGCCCACCAAGGCGACGACGGGUAGCCGGCCCGAGAGGGUGACCGGCCACACUGGGACUGAGACACGGCCCAGACUCCUACGGGAGGCAGCAGUGGGGAAUAUUGGACAAUGGGCGAAAGCCUGAUCCAGCAACGCCGCGUGAGGGAUGACGGCCUUCGGGUUGUAAACCGUCUUUCAUCCACGACGAAGCGAAGUGACGGUAGUGGGAGAAGAAGCACCGGCCAACUACGUGCCAGCAGCCGC